Molecule: long non-coding RNA, 734 nt
Organism: Gallus gallus (chicken)
Lineage: Eukaryota; Metazoa; Chordata; Aves; Galliformes; Phasianidae
Source: Ensembl
AGAAAGUAGAAGAAUAACUUCUGUUGCCAGCUCAUGUGUGCAGAGUGGCUCUAUGUCAAAGUCCACACUUUCCACACUCUGGGGGAGUAUCUCCCAGGGCAGAACUUAAACAGCAGCUACUAGUAUGGCAGCACGAGGUAUCUGACACUGGUCCUAGAGCUGCAUAUCCAUGAACAUCCUCAGCAUGCACUGGAUGUUCCAAAUUAUCUUCCACCUCUGCCAACACCAGAUGAACUGAAUUGCUCACAGAUUGGAACUGCUGACAUAAACCGUCAAUGUGAAUUCAACCACUGCACUUCAAUCAACUUCAGCAUGAGCCUGAUUAACUCAGAGCAUUGGCGGUCUGCACUAAACAACCCAUCAUCUGGCAGUCACUCACACUUUGCCUUCCUGUGGUGUGGCAGAUGGCAGUUUUCACCCCAGCUAUCCCUGCAGCCCAAGGCAGAUGGCAAGACUCCUUGGUCUGUGCUGACAAACUAAGGCUUCCUCAGUGAUCAAAUAAGAUACUCCCAACCUAAUUCUGGCUCACCUGGAGCUGCCUCUGCAUCUGGAGAUGUGAUAUCACAGGGAAUAAAACACUGCUCAAACUGUGGUGUUAUGGAGUUCGUAUGGUGCUGAAAUGAGUUUGAAUUUUGUCACUUUGGAAAGUUGCAUGAAUUUAUUUUAAUUAUUCAAGCUGGUGUCACAGGACUAUUCUAUUUUUUAAAUAAAUGAGAGCAUGUUUAAAUAUUUAA